GUCACAUGCUCCGCCAGUUCCAACAAGGCUGUUUAUUCUUCUUCAACGUGUGUGGGAUUCAAGGCAAUCAGUUUCUUCCUUCUAUGAAGGUGACACCAGGACUUUGAUACAGUGUCUGAGACUAGCACACCCAUGAAGCUAGGAGUGGUGUAGGCCUGAGGUACGUAGGCUUCAAAGCAUAACGCUAUUAACUUCGCAGGAACGUGCUGCCAGCCUCUGAUACCUUAACACAUCAGUGGACCUUAAUCAUUUCUGCUGUGAUACACAGUGACUCACUGUGGAAACCAGUAGGACGAUAUCAGUGGAGAACUUGACAGUUAUCAUAACAAGGAAGGGAAACGCGGCCAGCGGACCCCUUUCAUGAUAAUCUCAACAAUACAAUCUGUAAAGCUGUGUGAAACUCCACCUUAUAGGCUGUGUGCCAAGUAUUGGGGUGGCUAGAGGACGUGGUGGCCCAGGACAGACUUUUAUUUUCCUUUAG
Molecule: long non-coding RNA, 481 nt
Organism: Acomys russatus (golden spiny mouse)
Lineage: Eukaryota; Metazoa; Chordata; Mammalia; Rodentia; Muridae
Exons: 3
Source: RefSeq, a predicted model, not a curated record